Molecule: ribosomal RNA, 484 nt
Filed under: uncultured bacterium
Lineage: Bacteria
Description: partial 16S ribosomal RNA
Rfam family: Bacterial small subunit ribosomal RNA
Source: RNAcentral
AUUGAACGCUGGCGGCAUGCUUUACACAUGCAAGUCGAACGGCAGCGCGGGCUUCGGCCUGGCGGCGAGUGGCGAACGGGUGAGUAAUGCAUCGGAACGUGCCCAGUAGUGGGGGAUAGCCCGGCGAAAGCCGGAUUAAUACCGCAUACGACCUGAGGGUGAAAGCGGGGGACCGAAAGGCCUCGCGCUAUUGGAGCGGCCGAUGUCGGAUUAGCUAGUUGGUGGGGUAAAGGCUUACCAAGGCGACGAUCCGUAGCUGGUCUGAGAGGACGACCAGCCACACUGGGACUGAGACACGGCCCAGACUCCUACGGGAGGCAGCAGUGGGGAAUUUUGGACAAUGGGGGUAACCCUGAUCCAGCCAUGCCGCGUGCGGGAAGAAGGCCUUCGGGUUGUAAACCGCUUUUGUUCGGGAAGAAAUCCUCUGGGCUAAUACCCCGGGGGGAUGACGGUACCGGAAGAAUAAGCACCGGCUAACUACGUG